AUCUGGACGGCGGAAUUCAGGAUGACGGUCGCGUCUCUAGCGGGCGCGCUCGUCGUUUGAUAUUUCCGUCGUCGCGCGCAGACGUCGCGACCUGUUCGUUCGUCGGUCCCUGUUCGAAGGAGUCGCGUUCGAGCUCGUUGUGGGUGGGCGUUUCGGCGCGUUACCGCACGGCGAAGACGCGAUUUUUCUGGCCGACGACGGACAGUACGUAAGGGUGUCCGACGCCGUUGUACUCGUACACGCGGUCGUCGGUACCGGUCGGCGACGAAUUCUUCGGGCCUCUUUCCGACCCGUCUUGAAACACGGACCAAGGAGUCUAACAUGCGCGCGAGUCGCGGGGUGUCGAACGUACCACGGUGCGUUCGUUACGUUGCGAAACCCGUACACGUGGAAGGCGUAAUGAAAGUGAAUAGGGAAGAUGGUGUUCCGAGUUCACGUUUCCGCGAUCGUCGGUAUCGCGGCCGGACACCCGCAUUCCCGGGGCGUCUCAACGGCCCGUCGCGGAUGCGGACGGUCGACUCUCGGGUCGGUCGUCGGUUCGCGACGAACCGA
This 552-nucleotide ribosomal RNA is filed under the name Leucaspidini gen. sp. D0602A. Its description in RNAcentral is "eukaryotic LSU rRNA". The record is from RNAcentral. Lineage: Eukaryota; Metazoa; Arthropoda; Insecta; Hemiptera; Diaspididae.